ACCCCAGAUCAGGCGGGGCUACCCGCUGAGUAA
Molecule: ribosomal RNA, 33 nt
Filed under: Morus australis (Aino mulberry)
Lineage: Eukaryota; Viridiplantae; Streptophyta; Magnoliopsida; Rosales; Moraceae
Description: partial 28S ribosomal RNA
Source: RNAcentral